GAUGAACGCUGGCGGCGUGCCUAACACAUGCAAGUCGAGCGAUUCUCUUCGGAGAAGAGCGGCGGACGGGUGAGUAACGCGUGGGUAACCUGCCCUGUACACACGGAUAACAUACCGAAAGGUAUGCUAAUACGGGAUAACAUAAGAAAUUCGCAUGUUUUUCUUAUCAAAGCUCCAGCGGUACAGGAUGGACCCGCGUCUGAUUAGCUAGUUGGUGAGGUAACGGCUCACCAAGGCGACGAUCAGUAGCCGACCUGAGAGGGUGAUCGGCCACAUUGGAACUGAGACACGGUCCAA
RNAcentral lists this ribosomal RNA (297 nucleotides) under uncultured bacterium. Its description in RNAcentral is "partial 16S ribosomal RNA". It matches the Rfam family "Bacterial small subunit ribosomal RNA", at positions 28 to 334 of the family's 1533-position model. The record is from RNAcentral.